Molecule: non-coding RNA, 851 nt
Organism: Odocoileus virginianus texanus
Lineage: Eukaryota; Metazoa; Chordata; Mammalia; Artiodactyla; Cervidae
Source: RefSeq, a predicted model, not a curated record
GGAAGACCGCCAGCCCGGGCCAGCGUCCCGCAGCCUGACCGUCCCGCCAGCCUGGGUGUAGACGUGAAGGAAGGGGACACAGAGACUUGGAUGGCGGCACACAUGAGAUAGCUGCAGCUAUAAAGGCAAGAGGUCGGCUACAACACAUUCCUGCAAGGACAACAUUUUAUCCUUAAACUUCAGCACACCUGAUGGUCAAGAACAGUUGGCUACAUACAUUCUUUUUCUUCUGUGAGAUUUGGCCUACUCACAUAUAAGUGGCAUUUAUAAUGUUGGUAUCAUGCUUCCCUGCUUGGAGCCUGGAUGGGAGUAUAUCAGCAAUAAGUGGUACUCAGGGGUACAGGACAGAGCAGGGGGACCCAAGGCCCCCUUCCCACAGCAAGCUUACAGGCUGAAGCAGGCCUGAACUGGAUCAGGGAGAGGAUUGAUACUGCUCUGUCCAGCUUUGAGUUUUGAUUACUAUGUGAGAAUUCUCUUCUAAAUAUUCUAUGGUUGCAACUUCUCACCCAGCGCAGGGGUUUUUACUUGGGGCCAUGGACCCACUGGGUCUAUGGGUAAAAAAUCUGUAUUUCUACAUUGGAUGGGAAAAAAUAAUGUUUAACUAAACUAACUGGAAUUUAGCAUUUCAUUUAGUAUAAAAUGCUAGCACCAAACCCCAGGAGGAUCAUUGGUAUCUGUGACUGUGUGACCAAUAGAAAUCACAGAUAUUUGUAAUUUAUAUUAGAUUCUUUGCAGAUGUCUCAGAAUACCAUUUACCUUCAUCAUGAUGUCAAAAUUAUGGUUGUUAAUACAUGUACCAUCAGUUCUUGUAAUUUAAUAUGCAAAUAAAGCAGCAUCAAUACCUGAUAGCU